Dendrobium catenatum is the source of this 4830-nucleotide long non-coding RNA. RefSeq lists it as uncharacterized. The record is from RefSeq and is a predicted model, not a curated record. The transcript is spliced from 3 exons. NCBI's taxonomy places the organism in Eukaryota, Viridiplantae, Streptophyta, Magnoliopsida, Asparagales, Orchidaceae.
CUCAUUCGACGACGUCCCCUUCGACUUCGCUCCUUCGACGACGUUCCCUUCCUGUCUGAUCGGAAGUUAGGACAUUUGAACAAAAGCAACCACGGGAGCUCACUCGUUGUGACGGAGGUAACUUUCUCCCUUUUCGCGAGCUUCUGUUCUAUCACAAAGCUCACUCGUUGUGAAGGUAACUUGUUCCUCCUUCUCUUUCUUCUGUAACAUCGCGCCUCCAUCUUUUCGGAUGACGACGCAAAUCGGCAAAAAUCUUCUGUACUUUUUGGGAUGUCUUGUUCAGUAUCUUCUUACUUUUACUUUUAAGAAAUGGUUUACAUGUUUAUACUUAUCAUGUGAUUAAAGCAGACUAUUUAUUUGGUCGUAUAUUUGUUUUUGUUUUGGUGUUGGGAUGUGGACAUUUUGUUGAAUUCACGCUAGCUUGCACUGUAACUUUUUUCAUUCAAGGAAUUGGUGAAGAUAUAAGCUACCUACAUCUUUUCAAAAUAUAUAAAAUGAUUAUUAACUAACACAUAUCUUCAUUUGCUAUCAUUGCAUACUGUUGCCCUGUUAAUUCAGGUUAUUUGUCCCUGAUAUGAAAUCAUUGUAGCUGUAACAUGACAUUAUACCCUAACAAAAUGUGGGAUUGGCAUUCUAAUGUUCAAGUCAUUGGUAAACUUUUAUCUUUUUUGAAUUGAAACCCUUCAAAUUGAAAAGGUGCAGAGAGAUAGGGACUGUGUUACAUUAUAGUGAAAAAGUGCACAGACUCGGAUAUUUUCCUGGUCCAUCAGCAAAAACUCUUAGUUGUUGCUUAAGCUGGGUGGGAAAGCAUUUUAAAAUUUUUUAGCUUUUUACUGGGUACCCUGCAUACGCAUAGUUAAUGAAGGUCAUUUUUAAAUUUCCAACUUGCACAAUUAAUGAAAGGUCAUUUUUAAUAAAAUAGAAUUCAAAUAUAGUUUGAUAGGAUUUAGCAUAAAAUAAAAGUUAAUGAAAGGUCAUUUUGAUAUCAAAUACCUAGCACACACCAAAAAAUAGAAUUUUUCACAGCAAUUGUUUAGAGCAAUUUUAAAAUCAUUGCCAAAACCCUGAUUUAGAACCAAUUUGGACAGCUACAUUUUGCACCAGUUUUAACCUGUAGAGUUAGAACCGGUUUUAACCGUCGGUAAAGCCCCGCCAUUAAACCAAAUCCCUAAUUCCCAAUCUUAUACGUGAGAGCUCGACUUUUCCAACUGAACCUCAUCUUCCUCACUGGCUUAACGCUUAUUUUCCUAGCCAAUCACCACGAGCAUAUCCUUUAUUGUGUUAUUUUAUUCUUUAAUAUAAUCAGCUUUAUUACUUUAAAAGGUGAGAAUAGGAUAUUAUCAUCUCUAACAUGCUUUAUCUCUCUUCAUUUAGUAAUGCAAUAAUAUGAAUAUUAUAUUCCAUGUCAAAUUUUAUCUAUAUGAUUGAACUUAUCACCAAUCCUUUAUGAUUUAUCAUUCAUGCUAAGCUAUAUGAUUAAAAGUAUCACCAAUCCUAUAUGAAUAUUUUUAUCAUCAUAAUAGUAAAAUUAAAGUUUGAGAGGCUUGAAAAAUGAAGCUAAUGGCUACCUUCCUUCUGUUCUUCUUAUUGCUAAGAGUUACCUGAAGGUAAUUAGUUUGAGAUAUAAUAUGAUCACAAGUCUAUGAACAUGAUGGUUGCAUAAAAAAUUGAGUGACCUAAUGAAUCUUUAUUCUUAACAGUGACUUGGAAAAUCAUUUUUCACUUAAUAUGGAUAAGAGUUGGAUUACAAAAGCCAAGUGGAGUCGUGAUUAUGUAACUGGUGUAAACAAUUUCUUAGAGUUUGCAAGUCGAAGUCAGAAUUUAUCUGGGAAAAUUUUAUGUCCGUGCAAGUCAUGCAUUAAUAGGUACUUUCAUUCUAUGAAAGAUGUGAAAGACCAUUUAAUUUCCAAAGGUUUUUUUGCUGGAUAUGUUGUAUGGAAUCGACAUGGGGAAGAGCAUUGUAUUAUAGAUGAAUAUGCAAUGAAUAAAGCAUCUGGUGCCACACCAAAGUUAAAGGAAGGCGAAGCUUCUUCUAAGAUACAAGCUUGCGUGCUUUUGGCUGAGGAUGGGCUGAUACCAGAUGAUAGGAAUGUGAAGGCUAACGAAAUGGUGUUCAAUAUGGUUAUGAGACCUGAACACCCAUAAAGAGUCAGGACCCAAGGAUUUGGUGUCACUCCUACACGAUAUUUUCCUCAUAGCACGAAUGAGGGUAGGAAUAGUGGUGGAAGCUGUUUAAGUCAAAUAGUAAAUCUCAGAGAGGAGGUGAACUCAUUACGUACUGAAAUGAGAGAAUCCAUGCAACAAUUUCAAAUGCAGCAUCCAUCUCAAGGAAGCUCAAAAAUGUGACCACCCAUUGUUAAUUCUGGCUCGAGCUCAUAAGUCAAACUCGAAGCCACUAUUUUUCUGGCGAGUGGAGCUCAAGUACAGCAUUUAAGCUUGACUCCAGUAUGACCGUACCACUUAGCACAAAGCUUGAAUUAGCCCUAACUUCUGCUUGACUCUCCUCAUUGACACACCUGUCACUCAUUAUUCAAUUGGUAAGACUUCUAGCUUUCCUAUGAUUAUUGUAAGUUCCAUUGGAAUUUUCUCACCUCUUAAAAACACAUUUUUUUUUUUUAUAACCCUAUUUCCUCUUCACUCAGCCAUGAAAAUUCUUUUUCCAUGUACAAUCUAUUUUUAGAUUUUUUUCAACCAACCCUAUUACUAGAACUAGUCAUCUUAUUUUAAAGUAUGAUUUCGCUUGUGACAUUUUUUUUUAUUGAUUUUAAAAUAAUUUUUUAGUACAAAAAUUUUUAAUUUAAAAAAAAUUUGUGCUAAAAAACUGUUUUGAGAAGCCCAAGUUUGAUUCAAUUAAAGAAUUCUAAUUUAUCACUCUUAGCAUUCUGUUUUGCAAGGUUAAUAGGUUCUCUCCUUUUAAAUUCCACCAUCUUAUCCUAGGAUCAUACUUUCUUUUAAUUAUUUUACGUAAGCUCCUAAUAUAUAAAUCUAUAAUGACUAUCAUAUAUUGUGCAGUUAAUUCUUCUCUUAAAAUCGCUUUAUGAUAUUUUCAAGAAGAUUUCUCAUUCCUUCUAACCAUGAAGAAAAUUAUUUAUGAAUUGUUAACCCCAUUUUCUUAAGUAACAAAGUGUUCUCAUUUCUGUAAGUACAUAUUUGCAAUUACCAGGCCUCACUAGAUAAUGCAACCUAUGAUUGAGAACAAUGAUUCUUUGAUUAGAUUGGUUUGAAUAUUUCUAUUAACUAUGUAGACUAAGGUUCCUGACUACUUACUACGAUGAAAUUAUAGGAUCUUGUCAAGUUUAUCAUUAUUCCAUCAUCAUGCGCUCAAAUUCCAUAACAGUAUAUUAUUUUCUCUAAUCCAAAUUAUUACUACUAAAGCAAAGCAUCGUAGAGGUUUGGACUAGUCUUUAUCAAAAGUACUUACUCGUGAUUUAGAGAGCUGAUUAACCAUGGGGGGGGCGGCUAGCACUUAUAAGAAACCUUAAACUGAAUACUAAAGUCUCAUAAGUGGAAGAAAUAUGUAGUCACUAUCUUUAUAAUUCAGUUUACUUAUUGAAAAAUCAAUCUUAAUACCAACUUGAGCAUUCAGUAGAGGGAGAUUAAGAUGUUUCUGAAUUUAUGAAAUCUUAGAUAUAUAAAAGAUAAAUUAAUGAAAAAUCAAACAUACAUAUAAAAAAAGAAAUUGAAUUUAUAUUGGCAAAUUCAAAGAAACUAAGCUUUAAGAAAACCACACAUGCUCAAAUGUUCCUCAAAAAUAGUUUAUAUAAAAAAAAGCCUUAGCUACAUACUGAGUUUUGCGACCAAGGAAGCUUAGAAGAAGAAGACUUAGAGAGUUAAUCAAAACACUAAAGAAAUAGUUCAGAGUGCUAAUAGAUUGUAAAUCUCUAGAUUUUGGAGGCAUUUAUAGAAUAUGGAGACUCAAAUGGGAAGAAUAAAUAAGUCUUAGGAGAUCUGUAGCCAAAUUCAAAACUUGGGUACAUAAAGUAUGAACAUUUAAUGCCUAAUCAAAACUCUGGGCAAAUGUGACAAGAGGUUACUUUGAACCAAUAAGACAAGAUGUUGCUAUUGAGGAGACUUGAGAUUUGAUGAAAUAUUGUUUAAAACAAAAUGCAAAGAAAAAAUUGGGACUGUUAGAGAAGGUUAUCUCUUGUUAAGUGAUCUAAAGGAUGAACUAUAAGUGUUUGUCAAUUUAAAAAUAAAAUAAAAUAGAUCAAUAGAAUUUUUUGGCACAUCUGUAAUAUUAUGAUGGCCAACUUUAGUCUAUAAUUGUCCAUAAAAAAUGAUUGGAAGACAAACUAAAUUGUUUGGUCGAUUUUUAGAGAAAAUUGGCUAGUCCUCUUUAUUAAGCUAGACGAUCAUUUUUGGGAAAACUAUAAAUUAGUCAGCAUGGCAUAGUUUGAUAAAGGAUUUUUUUUUUUUUUCAAAUACAAAUGGUGUUCCAUACUAUUGCUAACUACAUCAUUGAAAUAAAGAAUUUGAGCAUCCUUAUUGUCUGCCUUAUAUAUCUAGAGUAAUUUUUUCUUGAUUUUUUUAGUUUUGCUUAUAGUAAGGCCUAUGAAAUAAAUGAAAAAAAAAACUCGUAAAUACACUUUGGCAGCAUUUAAGAAUUGAUCACCAUUAGCAUUUGCCUUCAAUUGGAUUGAAGUGCUUUUGGCUUCUCCUCAAGAUAAAGCACCAUUAGUAAUUUAGGGUAUAUCUCUGAUGUGGACAUCGACCAGAGGUUCAGACAUGUGUAUCGUCGUAGACAGCGCAGAUCGACGGCCGCGAUUCAGAGUUUAUAUUUCUAGAUAUUUAUGUAUUUUUUUAUUCAUUUUUCUUUUUAUUUCCUAUUGU